GGCAUCUCUGGGGCAGAGGGUGGCUGGGCCUUGCGCCCUCUGCAGCUCCUCCGGAGGCCGCCCACACGCAGGCAGGCUCCACUGCACCAACAGGAGCGGUCCCAGCCUGGGCCCUGCCUCACGGGGUGGGGCACUCCCUCAACACCCCAUGCCAGCGCCCCGCCCAGCCCAGCUGAGUGCCCUGACCAGCCCACUGCCCUGUGCAGCCGGCAGUGUGGACACCCUCGCUGAUUCAUGAAGAUGUGUGUGAGGGCCCCUCCGGGGCCACCCUGUCACAGCACCAUGUGACAGUGGGUCCCUGUCAUGACUGUCUUCUGUUGACUUCCUGAAGGGGACCCAGGUCUGCUCCAUCAGGGCAGCGGGGGCCCUGGAGCUCUGCUGGGCACUUGGAGAAGCAGGUAGAACAGUGAGGCGAGCACCAGACCCCUGACGAGCUUCCCGGGGCCAGGCACGGUCUUAGGUGGAGAGUGCCGGCUCACAGGUGGUGGUCACUGUCCAUCUGUUCUGCAGAACAGAACACUCAAC
This 525-nucleotide long non-coding RNA is filed under the name Marmota monax (woodchuck). Lineage: Eukaryota; Metazoa; Chordata; Mammalia; Rodentia; Sciuridae. The record is from RNAcentral.